CACUCCUACGGGAGGCAGCAGUGGGGAAUUUUGGACAAUGGGCGAAAGCCUGAUCCAGCAAUGCCGCGUGUGUGAAGAAGGCCUUCGGGUUGUAAAGCACUUUUGUCCGGAAAGAAAUCCUUGGCUCUAAUACAGUCGGGGGAUGACGGUACCGGAAGAAUAAGCACCGGCUAACUACGUGCCAGCAGCCGCGGUAAUACGUAGGGUGCGAGCGUUAAUCGGAAUUACUGGGCGUAAAGCGUGCGCAGGCGGUUUGCUAAGACCGAUGUGAAAUCCCCGGGCUCAACCUGGGAACUGCAUUGGUGACUGGCAGGCUAGAGUAUGGCAGAGGGGGGUAGAAUUCCACGUGUAGCAGUGAAAUGCGUAGAGAUGUGGAGGAAUACCGAUGGCGAAGGCAGCCCCCUGGGCCAAUACUGACGCUCAUGCACGAAAGCGUGGGGAGCAAACAGGAUUAGAAACCCCGGUAGUCCCAUGA
RNAcentral lists this ribosomal RNA (475 nucleotides) under uncultured organism. RNAcentral describes it as "partial 16S ribosomal RNA". It matches the Rfam family "Bacterial small subunit ribosomal RNA", at positions 334 to 800 of the family's 1533-position model. The record is from RNAcentral.